ACACACACACUCACUCACACACACUCACUCACACUCACACAAUGCUGCCGCUGCCACCGCGGCACCUACCAGGCGGGCAGCCUCGGCCCAGAAUGAACUUCACCCACAAGAUAUGAUGAAAUAUCAUCUCAAGUUAUAUAGAAUUUCAAGGAAUUGUGAAGGUGUCCCAGAGGAGUUAAAAUUUGUACAACAUGCUUGUGGAGCACACAUCACGUGUGAUUUGGCUGGAACGCUGAGUUCCUGAUUUGCAGACCUUCUAGACCCUGUCUGCCCACAGGAGAGUGGAUUGCUGAGUGAUAGAACAGUGACACGUGAAGGUAACAAAUGUCACAGGAAUAUCAACUAAAACUCAGUCACAUAUGCCCACAGCCUGAUCACCGCAGCCCACCGUACCCGUCGUCUCCAGCAGUGAAACCGCGGUCUGCGGCGUGCCCGUGAGAGCCAGUGUCAGAAACCCAUCACUUCCCGUGUGCCUCCGUUCAACUCUGUUCAAUCACUUACUACACUAAAUUAUACCAAUCUCCGCUUGGAAAAGCGUUCCCUUCCUUUUUUUUUUUCUUUUCUUUUUGUUGUUGUUGUUUUUGUUGUUGUUGUUGUGUUUUGUUUUGUUUUGUUUUCGGGGGGGUUUUUUUGUUUUGUUGUUGUUUUUGCAGGGAACUGUUUUGUCACACUGAAAUAGAGUUUAUGUGCAGUGACAGCCUAAUAAGCCAGCAACUUUAGUCGCUUAUUAAAGUCAAGCAUGUGUCUUUGUUUCAUGUUGCUAAUGAUGUGGAACCGUGGAGGCCCGAGUAUAUUUCGUCUGGACGGUGUGGGAGCGAAUGCUGAGAGCUCAUUACUUGGCUCCCCAUUGGAAUCCUGCAGGCUUCUGCUCAUUGAGGAGACUGUGGGGGCUUUGACAGAAUUAUUAUACUGAAUAUUUUUAGACUCAUUAACUAUAUCACCAAAGCAAAACAUCUCUUCCUUAGAUGCAAAUGGCUGCAGCUACUGUGGCUUUGCUUUAGUUAUUACAGAAAAAAAGGAUGAAGCUUGAAAACAACUUAGAGAAAGGAUUUUCAUGCCCGAAUGUUUGAAUUUGUAACUCAUGUUGGCAAUGUGUAAGCCUUUUUUACCACAUUUAAGCCACUCAUGUCUAAGUGCCAUUUAAAAAUGCAUAUAUUCAGUCUCAUGUAGUAAGUGGUGCUCAAUCCUUUAAAUUUAGACAGCACUAUUGAAGUACACAGUAAAAUAGCAGCUUUUGAAAUUCCACUUUCUAUUCCAAGAUGAAAAGAUUUAAAUGUUAAAAACUCAUAUUAAACUAAUUAUAGAUGCUUCAGUUAAGCCUUCAAAGGUAAAGAAAUUCAGAGUUAAGGCUAAAAAUUCUGACUUUCCUUUAACCUAAGUGCUGGAACAUAUGUACUGUGCAGUAUGAAAAAUCACACACUUCUCCAGACCGUACAAUCCCUAACCAAAACAGAAUGAUUUAAAGAUGAAGAGUGAGACAAAAUUUUUAGCCUAAGACUGAAUUUCCUUGCUGUGAUGGGUUUAAGUUGGCUCUUAAUGUUACUUUAUUGUAGCUUUUUGGGGUUUAAUUGAGACUUAAGAUGUACUUGAAGAAAAAUAUGAAUACCUUAAAAUUAAUUCUUCAGAGCAAAGGACAGAAAAUUGCAUUUAUGGCUCCAUUUGUUGGAAAAGUGAGGUUGGCUGUGAACUGUACAUUAUUUCACCUUCUAUAAAAUUAUAUUUUGAUUUCUUGAUGGGGACCUUCUCUAUAUGUUGUGUACAACCUUGUCCUCUCUAAAUUAUCAGCUUGAGCAUUUUCCCAAGUACAUGCACAUUCAAAAAAUACUAGAGACAAGAGGGUUUUUUUCUCAUAAUGUGUGCAAGCAUUCAUUAGGAUUUUAUUCUCUAAAAUUAUUGGAGGUUAAAAAACAACUAUUUUGAUUCCUAGGCAGAAAGACAUUGCUUUUAUUUGUGGUUCAUUUCCUGCUGUAGUAUUCUCUGACAAUGGUGACACCGUCUUUAUACAUCAAGAAGUUCUUCUUUCUAUGACUGCCAGGGACUCUGGAGGGAAUACUUCAUAUCUGAAACAUGUCUCCCUUUGGGAUUUCACCAUCAGAAUAACAGUUCUGAUCAGUGGCCCAUUAGAAAAAUGUUGGGUUUUUUUCUUCUUUUUUUUCCUGAAGCUAUGAAAAGGAAUAGUUAAAAAUCUGACAGAUAAGAAAAUUAUACUGAAUUGAAGUUAAUUUUUGUGCACACAGGAAUUUCAUGCUGUCCCCCAAGCAGUAAUUUCUUAAAGGUGCAAGGGGAGUUCUGAAGUUAAGCUCUGGGUAAGUGCAGCCACAGGCAGAGUGGGUGCAGUUUGUCUUUUGAGACGUUGCAGUUCCUGUUCAUACAUGUUUGUAGCACAGUGCUGUUUAAUUUAGGUGUCGGGCAAAGUUUUUGAACUCCAGUGCCUCAGGCAAGGUUCCUAAACCUUUAUGUUUAAGCAGUAGGUAAUAGUAGCCCAAAUUAUUUCCUGGCAAGGAUAAGCCUUUCUGAAAGAUUUGAUUAUUAUUAUGGGUCGCAGUAAGGAAGCCAGCUCUAAAACCAGUGGCCAUGGUUGUUCAGUAAAUACUUUAUUCUUCCUUAAAGCUGCACAGAACUUUCCAAAUUCAAGUGUAAAUGCUCUGUUGGGAAAAUUCUCACCUGCAGAACUGGUUCGCAGUUGUGAUUUCAGAUGUUUUGUAGUAAAAAUAGCCUGAAGGCAACACACCUGUCUAGGUAUACAUAGAUGAUUCACAGGAAAUAGAAUAGACUUGGUCUGUAGGCAUGCAAAUACAAUUGUUUCAUUUCCUACAGGCAGCAUGAUAAUCAGUUUAGUAGAUGUAUUAGUACUAUAAACAGCUGUUAACUAUCAGUUAUUGUAUUUACAGUCUUAUUUACAGUCUUACGUUUAGCCAAAAUAAAACUCGUUGUAUGAUUCUACCUUUAAUUUUAUUAAUUUGCUUACUUUAAUGUCUGUAGAGCUGUCUCUUCAGUUUUGGAGAGAAAAGGUAUUGUUAGGUGGCUUGUUUCUUUUGGUUGUGUUUUUUUUUUUGUUUUGUUUUAUUUUGUUUUGUUUCUGGUUGUUUUUGUUAUUGUUGUUGUGAUUGAGGCUUUUUAUUUUGCUUUGUUUUGUUUUUUUACCUAAAAAGCUAUACCUUGAAGUGAAAAGCCACUGGUAACAGACAUGCCUACUCUGCUGGGGAAUGUGAAUUAGGAGAGUUAAACUCUUAUUAAGAUGCAUUUUUGAACUAUACAAUAAAUAUUUAUUAGAUUGUAUGAUAAAAUUAAAUAUUUGUUCUACACUCCCAGUGACUGUAUUUCAGUGAGUUCUGUAUUAUAAAUCUUUUUAUGUCCAAUGACAUACAAUGGUUUUUUAUCAACCCUCUAGGUAUUGUGUAGUUGCCAAAACUUGGCUUUACUAGACUAUUGACCAAGUUCAAAGCUUUGUACCCUAUAAGUGUUUUCAGUAUUUAAAAUGUUUCUAUUUCUUUGCUAUGUAUAGCAAGAUGACUUUGCAGUUAAAUUUUAUUUUUCUGUUGCCUAUAGCCUUUAUUCAAGAUAAGACUUUUGUAUUCAUUUAGAAUUGGUUGCCUUAUGUGAGAUAGUUAUGGCACUGAACAGGUAAUUUUUUCUUGAUUUGGACUUCUGGUGGAUUUAUCUUAUAUAAAUGUUUCAGGUAAUAGAAAAAGACAUAGCAAUAUUUUUUUUAUAUAUAGUACAUAUGAUUGACCUCAGAAAGGGUCAGAGUUUAGGAGUCUAAAGUUUUGAAUGAAAUAUUUAAUGGUAUGUUAAAGAAAAGUGAUCAUAGUAUGGUUUUAUGAGUUGUUUAUUUUUAAAAAAUCAUCUUGUAAAGCUAAAUUUAUUUAUAUAUUCUCUAUUGCUUUUCCAAAUCUGGAAUAGUAUAGAGCAUCCAAAGAAGCAUCUUUCUGUAUUAGAGGACCACAAAAAUGGGGUGCUAGUCGACCUAGUCUUUAAUUGGAAAAAUAAAUAACUUUUUUUAUUGUCUAGGAUAUGUCUGUGCUGACAUUAAGGGACCUGUUCUGUGCUCUCCAGUCCUGCUGUCCUGAUCUUUCAAAUUGGGAAGCUUUUGAAGUGCAAUAUUUCUCUCCUUCCUUGUCUGCCCAAAUUUUCUUCCAAGAGAAAGCAAGAUGCAUGUGAUGUGUGCAGGUCUUUGCUUUCUUUUCCUUUUUGCAGGAAGAGAAAACUGAUUAAGAUGAACUAUAAUUAUUGGUACUUCUGCUGUUAGAAGCUGAACCUGUGUCCUGAAAAGUAGAAGAAAAAUAUACAAAGAAAAAAUCACCAAACCCAGAAAAUUCAGCUUCUAACAUUAAUGCUUUCUAUUUAUCAGCAUUGGCUGCAACAAAGAUUGCCAGCAUUGCUUUUAAGGCACUUGAUACAUUAGAAAAGGCUAAAAAAAUGAGACCAUGGAAACCUUCUUGGGCUCAAGCCCAAAUGGUACUUUUUCUUGUUUUCUACCAUGCCAAGGUGACUUUGUCAGUUCCACUGGCUUGACCACCCUACACAGUGCUUGACCAUGGAUUUCUGUCCUCUGGAUCCCGUCAGGGGCCUUCUGGCCUUAACUGGUGGCUAAUACUACACAUGACUGUAUUUCAGUUCCGUAUAGACCCACCAGAGUAGGUUUUUAGAAAAGGUGAAGUUAUGCAUAGUAUGUCACGAGGUGUGGCACAAGGGUAGUCCAGGGAGAACCUGAAGUUCUUCAUUAAGUCUGAGUCAGCCUAUGGAGAAAUGGAAAAAUGUGGAAGAAUAUGGAAAGCUAUUAGGGCCACUCUGCUUUCAGAGCCUGAGAAGGAGUUAAAGAUGCCCAAAUAUCAGCUGUCAUGUGUUCUGAACAACAUCUAUGAAAAUCUUUGGGGGAGUGUUUCACCCUUUUUAGCUCUGUCUCACGUGGAAUAUUGUUGCACCCUCCAGAAAUAGCCUCCCCCAGAAAUACCCUGUUACACUCCAUAUGUUGAUCUGCUCACAAACUCAUUGCUUUGAAGGAAAUGUGUAAAGGACUAUAAACCAUAUAAAUAAGGCUUUGUCAUAAUACAUAGGGUCCUAAAUUAACAUUGCAAAAGCAACUGUAAGUCUGGCAUUUCCUAACUUCCAAACAUCUUUCUUUCCUUUUUAUUAUCCUUUUAAGGUAAUUGUGUGUGAUUAUAAAGGCAUUAACUAGAAUCCUUUUUACAUCUUUCAUUUAUCUGGUAAUCGGGAACAUAAUACUGAAUCUAUUUGUGUAAUUGUGGCUGUUAAGAACCUUGGAAAUCUAGGUAGGUAUAACCUGCCAAAUAACUCAUGGUUUACUAAAGUCACUGACUCCAGUCAUUAAUGGUUUAAAUGUGUCCUCG
This is a long non-coding RNA of Passer domesticus (house sparrow), 5351 nucleotides long. RefSeq lists it as uncharacterized. NCBI's taxonomy places the organism in Eukaryota, Metazoa, Chordata, Aves, Passeriformes, Passeridae. The record is from RefSeq and is a predicted model, not a curated record. The transcript has 4 exons.